UGUAGUUCAGUAGUAGGGCACUUAUUUAGCAUGUAAGAGUCCCUGGGUUCAAUACCCAGCA
Molecule: transfer RNA, 61 nt
Organism: Cavia porcellus (domestic guinea pig)
Lineage: Eukaryota; Metazoa; Chordata; Mammalia; Rodentia; Caviidae
Rfam family: tRNA
About the family: Transfer RNA (tRNA) molecules are approximately 80 nucleotides in length. Their secondary structure includes four short double-helical elements and three loops (D, anti-codon, and T loops). Further hydrogen bonds mediate the characteristic L-shaped molecular structure. tRNAs have two regions of fundamental functional importance: the anti-codon, which is responsible for specific mRNA codon recognition, and the 3' end, to which the tRNAs corresponding amino acid is attached (by aminoacyl-tRNA synthetases). tRNAs cope with the degeneracy of the genetic code in two manners: having more than one tRNA (with a specific anti-codon) for a particular amino acid; and 'wobble' base-pairing, i.e. permitting non-standard base-pairing at the 3rd anti-codon position.
Source: Rfam